AUCCCAGUUGUUAAAUUAUCGUCAAUGUAGUUAGCCCAAUUUUGUUUAAGGUAGUUUCUAAAAUCUUCAUUCUGAUACAGGUAAGUUGGGAAUCUCUAAUUGUGGGAGUAGGGUUGUGGUUUGGAUAGUUUUAAGAUCAAUCUUAUAGGGACGAGAUCAGAAAUAUCUAUGUUACCUAUACUGAAAUCUUCUAUUGAUGAUAAAUGAUUAGUUGAAAGAAAGAUAUUAUCUAUUCUUGAAUGUGAGUUGUGAACUGCUGAAUAGAAUGUAAAGUAUGGCGAAUGUUCAGAGAGUAGAAUUCUGUAUUUUUUUUGGUACUUUAAUACCCAAAUAUGUUAUGUGUGAUCUUGCUAAUGUAAAUGGAGAGUCAUUCCUGUCAUUUGUCCCUUCGACACCGAUAUCCAGUGCUUCUGAUUUAGUCGGAUUUAUUUGGUCUGCGAAUGUACUAAAGAGUUGGAUGGUAUCUAAAAUUGCGGGCAAUUCCGUUUGGGGAUGUUGAAUAAAUAAUAAGAUAUUAUCUGCGAAAGCUGUUAUCUUUGUUUUAAGUGUCCCAGAGGGAUUCCUUGAAAGGUUUUAUUAAGAAGGAGGUGUUGUAUUAAAGGGUCUAAUCCUAUGUUAAAUAAUAGAGGGGAGAGGGGGCAACACUGCCUGGUUCCCUGUUGAAUUCUAAAUUUUUCUGAGUUAUACCCAUUAACUGUCAGGAAGGUUUGAGGCGAGUCAUAUAAGGCUUUGAAAAGAUUAAGCAUGUGUAUCCCAAAGUGUUGGAAUUUCAGAACUCGUCGUAUAUGUGUGUGUGAGAUCCUAUCAAAUGCUUUAUCUGCAUCUAAGUUAAUUAAUAAACCUUGUCUUCUUUUGUCCUGGUUACAUUGAUAGAUUGUGGCUAUAGUUUUACUGAUCGCUUGUACAGGAUACCUGUUCUGGAGAAAACCCAUCUGAUUAGAGGUGCAUCUAGAAUUUCCCGAUCUUGGACUGUCAAUUUGUUCAAAUGGGCAUCCAGAAGAAAUUUAAGACCAUUCUCUGGAGCAUCCGGUGACUAUUGGUAGAGAUUUUUAAAAUGAUACGUCAUUAUUUUAGCAAUAUCUUGUGUAUCCCGAGUCCAUCCUGCAGAUGUUUUAAGUUUUUGAAUAAUGGUGUUUGAUUGUUGUCGUUUAACUAUGUUUGCUAAUAGUUUCCCUGACCUAUUCCCCCAGCGAUAAUAUCUAUUUGCUGUGUGACUCAGUUUAUGUUGCAAUUUGCUCUGUCAAUAAAGUGUUAAAAAGUA
Xenopus laevis (African clawed frog) is the source of this 1261-nucleotide long non-coding RNA. RefSeq lists it as uncharacterized. The transcript is spliced from 2 exons. NCBI's taxonomy places the organism in Eukaryota, Metazoa, Chordata, Amphibia, Anura, Pipidae. The record is from RefSeq and is a predicted model, not a curated record.